This 434-nucleotide ribosomal RNA is filed under the name uncultured bacterium. RNAcentral describes it as "bacterial SSU rRNA". It matches the Rfam family "Bacterial small subunit ribosomal RNA", at positions 340 to 767 of the family's 1533-position model. The record is from RNAcentral.
UACGGAAGGCAGCAGUGGGGAAUAUUGCACAAUGGGCGCAAGCCUGAUGCAGCCAUGCCGCGUGUAUGAAAAAGGCCUUCGGGUUGUAAAGUACUUUCAGUCGUGAGGAAGGUGUUAAGGUUAAUAACCUUAGCAAUUGACGUUAGCGACAGAAGAAGCACCGGCUAACUCCGUGCCAGCAGCCGCGGUAAUACGGAGGGUGCGAGCGUUAAUCGGAAUUACUGGGCGUAAAGGGCACGCAGGCGGUUAAUUAAGUUGGAUGUGAAAUCCCCGGGCUUAACCUGGGAAUGGCAUUCAAGACUGGUUAGCUAGAGUCUUGUAGAGGGGGUAGAAUUCCAUGUGUAGCGGUGAAAUGCGUAGAGAUGUGGAGGAAUACCGGUGGCGAAGGCGGCCCCUGGGACAAAGGCUGACGCUCAUGUGCGAAAGCGUGGGGA